CAAGCUGUCCCGAGCUGCUUGCGGGGACCGAGGAGCCGCCGCCNGNNUGGAANCUGUCCGCCGCUCUCCUGGGAGGCUCCGACUGGCAGAGACUGGGCUCCCCCGUGUCUGCCGACCGCCUNCCUGGNCGGCCNGGCGGUGUUAGCUGGCCGGGCACAGGGUCGGUGGNGAAUCGGUCGNCNCUCCACCCGACCCGUCUUGAAACACGGACCAAGGAGUCUAACAUGCGCGCGAGUCGUUGGGUGGUACGAAACCCGAAGGCGAAGUGAAAGCGAGGGCCCUGUCCACAGGGCUCAGGUGGGAUCCUCCGUUCGGAGGCGCACCACCGGCCCGUCUCGUUCGCGCCGUCGAGGAGGCGGAGCAAGAGCGUGCACGUUGGGACCCGAAAGAUGGUGAACUAUGCCUGAGCAGGAUGAAGCCAGAGGAAACUCUGGUGGAGGUGCGCAGCGAUUCUGACGUGCAAAUCGAUCGUCAAACUUGGGUAUA
This 486-nucleotide ribosomal RNA is filed under the name Diplommatina diminuta. Its description in RNAcentral is "partial 28S ribosomal RNA". It matches the Rfam family "Eukaryotic large subunit ribosomal RNA", at positions 596 to 919 of the family's 3401-position model. Lineage: Eukaryota; Metazoa; Mollusca; Gastropoda; Architaenioglossa; Diplommatinidae. The record is from RNAcentral.